GGGCCAGACUCCUACGGGAGGCAGCAGGGGGGGAUAUUGGACAAUGGGGGGAGCCCUGAUCCAGCGACGCCGCGUGAGUGAAGAAGUAUCUCGGUAUGUAAAGCUCUAUCAGCAGGGAAGAAGAAAUGACGGUACCUGAGUAAGAAGCCCCGGCUAACUACGUGCCAGCAGCCGCGGUAAUACGUAGGGGGCAAGCGUUAUCCGGAAUUACUGGGUGUAAAGGGAGCGUAGACGGCAGCGCAAGUCUGAAGUGAAAUGCCGGGGCGCAACCCCGGAACUGCUUUGGAAACUGUGCAGCUAGAGUGUAGGAGAGGUAAGUGGAAUUCCUGGUGUAGCGGUGAAAUGCGUAGAUAUUAGGAGGAACACCAGUGGCGAAGGCGGCCUACUGGACUGUAACUGACGUUGAGGCGCGAAAGCGUGGGGAGCAAACAGGAUUAGAUACCCCCGUAUUA
RNAcentral lists this ribosomal RNA (452 nucleotides) under uncultured bacterium. RNAcentral's name for it is "bacterial SSU rRNA". It matches the Rfam family "Bacterial small subunit ribosomal RNA", at positions 328 to 795 of the family's 1533-position model. The record is from RNAcentral.